UACGUAGGGUGCAAGCGUUGUCCGGAAUUAUUGGGCGUAAAGAGCUCGUAGGCGGUCUGUCGCGUCUGCUGUGAAAACUCAGGGCUUAACCCUGAGCUUGCAGUGGGUACGGGCAGACUAGAAUGCGGUAGGGGAGACUGGAAUUCCUGGUGUAGCGGUGAAAUGCGCAGAUAUCAGGAGGAACACCGGUGGCGAAGGCGGGUCUCUGGGCCGUAACUGACGCUGAGGAGCGAAAGCAUGGGGAGCGAACAGG
RNAcentral lists this ribosomal RNA (253 nucleotides) under uncultured bacterium. Its description in RNAcentral is "partial 16S ribosomal RNA". It matches the Rfam family "Bacterial small subunit ribosomal RNA", at positions 524 to 776 of the family's 1533-position model. The record is from RNAcentral.